Molecule: long non-coding RNA, 3359 nt
Filed under: Homo sapiens (human)
Lineage: Eukaryota; Metazoa; Chordata; Mammalia; Primates; Hominidae
Description: HSALNT0365436
Source: RNAcentral
GUAAAAACAGAGUGAAAAUAGGUUGCAUCUCACCCUCUCUCUGGGAAAACUGUCCUAUGCCUACUCCACCUUAAAAGCGAAACGUGCACUUUUUGUGUGCAGAGACAGCACGAAGUGGGCCCCCUGCUCUUUUCAGGGAGGGAAUGUAAGCAGAUCUCUGAAGAAACCACUUGGCUCAGCAAUUUUAGGGCUUGUUGUAAUUGGCCUGGCCUAAAAGAAUUCAGCAAGCUGUACCUGUGCCAAGGAAAAUGCAAACGCUUCCCUGAAACAGAGGCGUUUAGAAUGGAGGAGAGGAGCUGGGCUCAUCUGCGAGCUUGAGUGGAACAGCAGUGGGGACAGGAGAGCUGCGACAUUGGAGAAGUUCCAAAGAGGCUGUUUCCUUGCUUAGCCACGGGUGGAAGUCACAUCCACUGAACUGUCACCUGGCAGGCAUUAUAAAUUAAGGAGGAAUAGUAACAAAGAGCUUGAAGACAUGCACAGCUCACAGGCCCCGGGUGGAGGCUGGCGACAUCAGACAGACAGAACCAAGACAUCUGAGGGGCAACCAGGAGGUGCGUGUGGCUGCAGAGCACACAGACUUGUCUUUGGACAAAAUUGAGAAGAACUCAUAAACUUGGCUUCCUCGCUUCUGCUCCUCAGACGCGCGUGGAUGAUUUGAAGAUAUUAGCCUAACAAGAUGGAAGCAGGUUUAAAAUUUUACAUAAGAAGUUACCUUUUUCAGUUGUGUUGAUGUUCCUUUCAGCUGGUCCUAUAGUACCCCUCCUCAGGAAUGUCUCCCCAGUGCAAGGACAAAGACUGAAGAGACUGCUAUAUUGAUGGACUCUCAAGCCAACUAUGAAGUUGAAACAAAGAAAGUGAUCACCUGAAGACACCUCCUCUGCUAAGAAACACCCCCAAAUUGUGCAGCUUCUGCCACUAGAACUCUCAGAACAAGAGACAAUCUUUUCAAGAAACAGAAAAACUCAAUAAUGACAUCUAGAUUUUCAUGAGCCAAGAACUUUCCCUUCCUCAUGUGUAUUCCUCUGUUUGUACUUAAAUUCAUGUGACAUUCAUUUUUUUCCUAGUAUGGAUAUGCUUAUUAAUGCACUUGUUUCAAAAUCCCAAAUUGCACAAAUGUGUUAAUAUUUUAAGAAACAAAAUGAAUCCUACAAGGAGAAUGAUUUUUAGCCACACAUAGGGUUGGAUCUUGAGAGUGACCUACAGAAUAAAAGUACUUUUAAAAUAAAGUAGUCAGAGGCUAUUCAAAGGGUAAAAUAAUCAUAGUACCACAUUGGUCCACUUGACACUAACCAAUCGAUCAUUUUUUUUUAAUCAAGAAAGCUAGAUUCUAUCAGAUAAAAUCACUGCUUCUAAAGAGUUUAAAUCUAGUUAGAAAAAGUUAUAGAAAUGUUUGCAAAGAUAAGUAACAGAUAGAGUCAGUAGAGGAUAAGAUCAAAAACAAAACCAAGCAAAAGAUGAGUUCAGGGGAGUUUGCCAUCAAGUUGGCAAAACUGACUUACUUAGGGAAGAAAGUUAUAAAACAGGAAAAUAUGAGAUGAACCUUGAGUGAUGUGGAAGAUUUAGAUAAAUGGAAAGGAAGGAGAAAAUGGAGUUCUUUAGGUGGUUGUAAUUGGAGGAGGAAAUGAAUACACACAUCUUGUUGACUUAAACCCAGACAUUCAGCAGCUCUCUAUACAUAUCUGGAAAAGACUGCACAGUCACCUCCUGUCUCUCACCCCAGGUAUUACUUAGAAUUAUUAUCAUAUUUCCCUUCCUUUAAAGUAAGUAAGGGUGAUUGGUGACAAUAUGGAGAACUAUGAUUUUUCCAUUAACCUAAUAAUAAUUGGUAUUUAUUGAGUUCUGUUAAGCAUUUUACAUAUUAACUCACUUAAGCCUUUCAACAGCCUUGCAAAAUAGGUAUUAUUAUCCCCAUUUUACAGGCAAGAAAACUGAGGUUUAAGUAACUUGCCGAAGUGCCAUAUACAGGGCUCACAUUCAGUAUUGCAGUUGCAAAGCUCAUGAUCUAUAGUGCCAAGUUGCAAUAUUGUAGUCAAUGUCACAAUUAUUACCCCUUUUUAUAUUCCUUGAUAUUUUUCCAUGGCAAACAAUUAGCUAUUUCAUUUAAUAAUCACCUAAAACUUUUCAGUCUUCUGAUUAAAAUUACGCUGGAGUGAUAGAAUGUAUUUUCAUGAUAGAAAUUGGGAAAAAAAAUGGGGAAUGAAGUUUAUCAGCAUUUCAGACUUGUUUUUUUUUUUUUUUUUUGCAAGACUUUGAUGAGAUUGUUCACUUUUGUCUAUGUAAAAUCCCAAAUCCUUGAGAAUAAAAAAGGGGGAGGUUUAAGUCACUUGUUGCAAUGCCCUUUUUAAUAGAGGCAAUAAAUCUAAAGGCCAUAAAUUUAGAGUGACUUACAGAAGAUCGAACUUUGGAGUGUGGCAGAGUAAGGGAUGGAAACCGGGCCCUCCAGUUCACUAUCAGUAGCUUUUGCACUGGUCUGCCCUUCCUAAAUUAAGUAUGCACUUCAAUUUGAUGAGUGGAAACAGUCUAUCUGGGCAGUAACCAGGGAGCUUUGUGCCUAGUAGAUUGCUUCUGUUCUGCACUUCUUUGGUUUCCCACCUCAAUGUAAAAAAUAGCUAGCAAUGAAGUCCAGAAGUUGUCAAUGGUUCAUCCCCAGAAGAAUGCAUAAUGUCCAAAGUUGUAUGUGUAUGAUGUCUUCAAUGGUAUUAAGUUAUUUCAAAUUCUUAGUUCACCUACAUAAAUCAUUUCUAACAAGCAUCUUCUUAACCAACUUUAUGCACAGUGUAUGUUUGUAAGUGCUUCUGCACGAAUGUUUAUACAUGACUGUUUCCAUAGUACUUAUGUUUUUAAAAAUAUUCAGUCAUUUCCUACUAUAAUCCUCAUGUAUCCAUGUAACUGACUCAAAAAUACUUCAGCCACAGAAAGCUAAAACUGAGCAAAUCUCAUUCUUCUUUUCCAUCCCCUUUGCAUGUGGCUGGCAUUUAGUAAUGAUUAAUAAUAUGGCCAGCUGAAUAACAGAGGUUUGAGACACAAUUCUUUCUCAAAGGAGUCAGCUAAGCUGGGUCUACUUAUGGACAAACAUCUAAAUGUGUGGAAGUAUCUGAUAUUUGACAAUGGUAAAUUUCCACUUAGCUAGCUAGCAUUGUCAGACUUCAAUCUCCUCAUGGCUCUGGCCGUCCUGUUUUAAGCAUGAUAAUUGUUGGCCACAUCUCACAUAGUUCUCAUUGAGUGAGUUCAUAAAUAAACAGGGUUUUUUUUUUUUUUUAAAGAGCAGCCAAGCACAAAGUGUGACUUUGUUGACAUUUUAUGUGACUUUGUCAUAUGUUCCUAACCCCCAAUAAAAGCAAUGUUGCAUCAACUGUGAA